Molecule: long non-coding RNA, 1639 nt
Organism: Monodelphis domestica (gray short-tailed opossum)
Lineage: Eukaryota; Metazoa; Chordata; Mammalia; Didelphimorphia; Didelphidae
Source: Ensembl
UACAAGUUAGGAACAGAGGGCAGAGGAGAGUGGAGGACAAGGUUCUUUCUUUCUUUCUUUCUUUCUUUCUUUCUUUCUUUCUUUCUUUCUUUCUUUCUUUCUUUCUUUCUUUCUUUCUUUCUUUCUUUCUUUCUUUCUUUCUUUCUUUCUUUCUUUCUUUCUUUCUUUCUUUCUUUCUUUCUCUCUUUCUCUCUUUCUUUCUCUCUUUCUCUGUUCUCUCUUUCUCUCUUUCUCUCUGUCUCUCUUUCUCUCUUUCUCUCUUUCUGUCUCUCUCUCUUUCUCUCUUUCUCUCUCUCUUUCUCUCUCUCUUUCUCUCUCUCUUUCUCUCUCUCUUUCUCUCUUUCUUUCUCUCUUUCUUUCUCUCUUUCUUUCUCUCUUUCUUUCUCUCUUUCUUUCUUUCUUUCUUUCUUUCUUUCUUUCUUUCUUUCUUUCUUUCUUUCUUUCUUUCUUUCUUUCUUUCUUUCUUUCUUUCUUUCUUUCUUUCUUUCUUUCUUCUUUCUUUUUUUCUGGCUAGAUAAUGGAGGGUUAUUUCUUGCUCAGGGUCAUCCAGCUAAGAAAUGUCUGAGGUUAUAUUUGCACCCAGGACCUUCCAUCUGUAGACCUGGCUUUCUAUCCACUGAACUGCCUCACUGCCCCUGAUAAUUGUAUUUCAAUGGAGCUGGUUUCUAUUGUAAUCCUAUAUCUUUUACUUGAUGCAUUUAAAAUUUGUUCUGAGAAGGUUAGUCUUCACCCAGCAAUGGAAGGGUCUAUGACAUAAAUGUGGUUAAGAUAUCCUGGUACAGGGGAGGAGACUCCAGAUGUUUAGAGGGAGGGUAGGCUGAAGAUGAAAGACUGGACAAAGGUCAAGAGAAUUAAGCUGUGUUCCUCCUGUCUUUGCCACUAAUAACAGUGUAACCUAGAGGUGGUUAGUAGCUGAGUGGACAGUCGCCUAGUGGAUAGACUUUCUGGAGGAAGGAGGAUCAGAAUUCAAAUUUGACCCCAAUAGAGAAUCAAAGGUAGAGAGGCAAAGAAAUCACGGCUAUUUAAAAGGAUUUGGUAGCCAUAAUUGGGAAAACAAUUUGUUCCUACAACUCUCCUGUUUGGCCAGUUAAAAGGAAAAAAGAGUGGUGAAGGGAGAUUUACGACAGACUCUAGAAAACCUAAUGCUGAAAUGGAACCUAUUAAGGGAGCCCUUCCAAAUAUUUCCAGAAUGAUUGAUGAAGUGAAAUGACACGGCGGACCUUGGUUUUCAGAUGUUGAUUUAAGUUAUGUGUUCUUUGCAGUACCUGAGCCCAAGGAAGCCAGAAAUGAUAUUUGCCUUCAACGUGGGAGGGAGCACAAUAUUACAUUCUGUAUUUUGACAUGAGGAUAAGUUAAUUGUUCAGUGUUAUAUCAUAAUUUAGGGUGGCUGGGUGGCCUGAAAGAUAGAAUGUCAAGCCUGAAAUAAGGAAGACUCUUAUUCUAGAGUUCAAAGCUGGCUUCAGAUGCUUACUAGCUGUGUGAUCCUGGACAAGUCACUUUGCCAUGUUUGCCUCAGUUUCCUCAUCUGUAAAAUGAACUGGAGAAGGAAAUGGCAAAUACUCCAGUAUCAUGGCCAAGAAAACCCCAGAUGAGGUCAUGAAGAGUCAGACAUGACUGAAAAAUGAUCAAACAACAGCAA